This 446-nucleotide ribosomal RNA is filed under the name uncultured bacterium. RNAcentral's name for it is "bacterial SSU rRNA". It matches the Rfam family "Bacterial small subunit ribosomal RNA", at positions 29 to 518 of the family's 1533-position model. The record is from RNAcentral.
AGCGAACGCUGGCGGCAGGCUUAACACAUGCAAGUCGAACGGGCGUAGCAAUACGUCAGUGGCAGACGGGUGAGUAACGCGUGGGAACGUACCUUUUGGUUCGGAACAACCCAGGGAAACUUGGGCUAAUACCGGAUAAGCCCUUACGGGGAAAGAUUUAUCGCCGAAAGAUCGGCCCGCGUCUGAUUAGCUAGUUGGUGAGGUAACGGCUCACCAAGGCGACGAUCAGUAGCUGGUCUGAGAGGAUGAUCAGCCACAUUGGGACUGAGACACGGCCCAAACUCCUACGGGAGGCAGCAGUGGGGAAUAUUGGACAAUGGGCGCAAGCCUGAUCCAGCCAUGCCGCGUGAGUGAUGAAGGCCCUAGGGUUGUAAAGCUCUUUUACCCGGGAUGAUAAUGACAGUACCGGGAGAAUAAGCCCCGGCUAACUCCGUGCCAGCAGCCGC